GGGGAACUGAUCUUUUGGCCCCCAACCAAUUCCGUAACCAAAGUUCUCAAGUAUUUGAAGGGUUCACCUGUUCCUGCCCUCGAGGGAAUGUCGAAAAGGCUAGGGAUGAGCUCAUUCACCUUCAGCUCACUCUAUUGUUUUGGCCAUUGUGCACGUAUAUGGCCAAGAUGAAAAGACCCACGCAGCAAAUGUAUCUUAGUAAUGAACAAAUUUCAUGGUGUGUCUAUUUUCUGUGUGUUUUGUGCUAUGCUUUCUCAGCGUUAGUCAUCCUCCAUCUCUCCCUCCACGUUCUCACUUUCCUGUAAUUUUAGAGAUGGAACCUCGACCUGUGCAUUUGAAUUCAGAGAUUUCAG
Molecule: unclassified non-coding RNA, 353 nt
Filed under: Hevea brasiliensis (rubber tree)
Lineage: Eukaryota; Viridiplantae; Streptophyta; Magnoliopsida; Malpighiales; Euphorbiaceae
Source: RNAcentral